GGGGCAGUCAGAUCUCUUAGCAAACUGUAUGUUUUUGGGCCAAUUAAACUCAACAACGCUGGUACUCUUUUGUUAUCAGCAAUGUCGUUUGCAAUGAAGUACUGUUCCAGUCGUUCAAUGUAAGUUGCCCAGUUUUCUUGCGUGUCAUCAAACACAUCUAUUUUCCCGAUGCUAGCCAUUCUCUUUACCUCCGGCUCCACGGGUCUUUGAUCUGCCGCCUCGUUCUCGUCAGCUCUCCCCUCGUCUUCACUUCUUGCUAGCUGUUGUGCUACAGGGUCAAAAUCUUCCUCUCUUCCUACGAACUCCAUCUGUAUUCGUGAUGCACACUGCAGAUGAAUGUGGUACCUUCAGGCAUUUGGAAAUUGCUCCCAAGGAUGAACCAGACUUGUGGAGGUCUACAAUUUUUUUCUGAGGUCUUGGAUGAUUUAUUUGGAUUUUCCCAUGAUGUCAAGCAAAGAGGCACUGAGUUUGAAGUGCGUUUCAUCAACUAUAAACUUCACAAAGGAGAUUCAAGGAUGCAAGCUUUGAAAGCAGAGUGUCGAUACACCAGCUUGUAUACCUAACAAACAAUGGUUUUCCUUCCCUGAGCCCUUUUUUCUCUUUCAAGGUUUGGGUGAUAGAGAUAGGGAGGGAGGAUACUCAUUUCAACCACCAUAUCAAGUAACUGUCAGCAUGUCUAGACCAGGUGUUUCAGAUGCUGUUGCCUGGUCAUCGCUAAGGAAUUAAAGCCCUUGUGGGUCACAAUACCGCUGGGCUUUAGGGCCUAUAGAAACCAAACAGCCCAUUGUUGUCACUGAGAACUUUACUUUUCAUGAGAUGGCUGAUAGGUUUGUUUUGUCUGCACUACCUCCUCCCAAUCCAUCACACGGCACUGACAAAAUAUUAAAUGUUGACAGCUCCUCUGAUUACAGGAGAGGGAAAAUUAGUGCUUUCCACCUGAGUUUAGCCUUUAAGUGAUCAUCUUUCCACCUGUUAUACCUUACCUUGCCUUUGUCCAGCCAAAUGAAAUUUGCAAGUCAAACGACAGUUUGAACGUAAAAAUAUUUGUUUAUCAAAUUGCGUUUUUUGGCAUUAAUGCCUUCUCGAACAUGUAAACUUUCAUUAACAACAAACAUGUAUGCCAUCUGUAAAUACAAAUAAAAUUGUUUAAUUACCAGCCUUGUUUGUUACGCCACAAAAAAGACAGCAACCUUCCCACGAUUGGCUAAGAUAAUGAGUGGGCUGGACAUGCCGAGAAAGGAGUUCAGAUUGGUCUGCCAUAUAGAUGGCUUCUGUCUAUUUGAGCUGGUCAGUCUGUAUUGGUAAUCCUGACGAAUGCGGCUUUAAAAAAAUGUAUUGUGUAGUGGAGCUGCAUAAGUGUUGCUCUCCACUUUCUGGAGGAUCAAGUUUUGAAAUCAGUGAAAUUAGAAUAUGAUUGCUAAAGAGAUGGAGAAAACACCCAUCUCCGGAUUACAUCUUCAAACUAAGGGCAACCGUGGCAUGGCAUUCAUGACAGGGAGACGCGUCCAUCAUGCAUGAUGACGUAUACUGGUAAGAUAAUAUAACGUUAGCUAGCUACAUUUUCAGAUAUUAGACAUUUAUAAUUUUGACAAAGUGGUUUCAUUUGAAGAUAAAGUGUACUGUUAGCUAGCUAGCUAACGUUAGCUGGCUGGCUCCCUAGCAGACGCUAUUAUUCGUAUACCAGAGCCAUUUGCUUUGCUAGUUAGAGCCUAAUGUUAGCUAGCUAACAUUAAAUCUGGUUGGUUAGUUUCCAGCAUAUUCAUGCAGGGUAGUAACGAUAUGAUUUGGCACUGUGUUAAUUGUUGUUUAACUAGCUAGUUAGCUGGCUGGCUUAAAGUGUACAACACUCUUGAAUAUGGCCUGUGUCAGUAAAUGUAUGCAAAAAAAAGUAAUGAAAUUGUUGCCAGCAGAGGUGGUUAGGCUGUUUUCCAUAGGUUAACAAAUCAUUGGCCAGAGUGUCAAGUGUGCGCUCUCAACGCUCUAAGCAAAAUUAGAUGGGUGGGGAUAAAGCUUAAGAGGGUGUGAACAAUGCUGAAUGGGUGUAGACAAAGAAGAGCUCUUCACUAGAUACGAACUGUCACGCCUUUCCCCGCUCUGGCGCUCGAGGGUGCCAGGCUGCCCAUCAUUACGCACACCUGUCACCGUCGUUACGCGCGUCAGCGCUUCAUUGGACUCACCUGGACUCCAUCACUUUAUUGAUUGCCUCCUCUGUCUUUGCCUCAAUUUGAUCCCUUUGUCAGCAUUAAUGUCGUUGGGUUUCCCCUGUCCAGACACUGUCCGUGUUUUGUUUCAUGUCUGUUAUUUAUUAAAUAUUCACUCCCUGUACCUGCUUCUCGUCUCCCAGUGUCUGUCCUCACAAAAACAUUAAAAGGCC
Oncorhynchus tshawytscha (Chinook salmon) is the source of this 2374-nucleotide long non-coding RNA. Lineage: Eukaryota; Metazoa; Chordata; Actinopteri; Salmoniformes; Salmonidae. The record is from Ensembl.